UACGUAGGUCCCGAGCGUUGUCCGGAUUUAUUGGGCGUAAAGCGAGCGCAGGUGGUUUAUUAAGUCUGGUGUAAAAGGCAGUGGCUCAACCAUUGUAUGCAUUGGAAACUGGUAGACUUGAGUGCAGGAGAGGAGAGUGGAAUUCCAUGUGUAGCGGCGAAAUGCGUAGAUAUAUGGAGGAACACUGGUGGCGAAAGCGGCUCUCUGGCCUGUAACUGACACUGAGGCUCGAAAGCGUGGGGAUCAAACAGG
RNAcentral lists this ribosomal RNA (252 nucleotides) under uncultured bacterium. RNAcentral describes it as "partial 16S ribosomal RNA". It matches the Rfam family "Bacterial small subunit ribosomal RNA", at positions 524 to 776 of the family's 1533-position model. The record is from RNAcentral.